UGGGGAAUAUUGCACAAUGGGCGCAAGCCUGAUGCAGCCAUGCCGCGUGUAUGAAGAAGGCCUUCGGGUUGUAAAGUACUUUCAGCGGGGAGGAAGGGAGUAAAGUUAAUACCUUUGCUCAUUGACGUUACCCGCAGAAGAAGCACCGGCUAACUCCGUGCCAGCAGCCGCGGUAAUACGGAGGGUGCAAGCGUUAAUCGGAAUUACUGGGCGUAAAGCGCACGCAGGCGGUUUGUUAAGUCAGAUGUGAAAUCCCCGGGCUCAACCUGGGAACUGCAUCUGAUACUGGCAAGCUAGAGUCUCGUAGAGGGGGGUAGAAUUCCAGGUGUAGCAGUGAAAUGCGUAGAGAUCUGGAGGAAUACCGGUGGCGAAGGCGGCCCCCUGGACGAAGACUGACGCUCAGGUGCGAAAGCGUGGGGAGCAAACAGG
Molecule: ribosomal RNA, 429 nt
Filed under: Chloroflexota bacterium
Lineage: Bacteria; Bacillati; Chloroflexota
Description: Chloroflexi bacterium partial 16S ribosomal RNA
Rfam family: Bacterial small subunit ribosomal RNA
Source: RNAcentral